AAUGAACGCUGGCGGCAUGCCUAACACAUGCAAGUCGAACGAAGGCUUCGGCCUUAGUGGCGCACGGGUGCGUAACGCGUGGGAAUCUGCCCUUGGGUUCGGAAUAAUAGUUAGAAAUGACUGCUCAUACCGCAUGAUGUCGUAAGACCAAAGACUUACCGCCCAAGGAUGAGCCCGCGUAGGAUUAGGGAGUUGGUGGGGUAAAGGCCUGCCAAGGCGACGAUCCUUAGCUGGUCUGUGAGGAUGAUUAGCCACACUGGGACUGAGACACGGCCCAGACUCGGACGGGGGGCAGCAGUGGAGAAUAUUAGGCAAGGGGCGAAAGCCUAAUCCAGCAAUGCCGCGUGUGUGGGGAAUGCCUUAGUGUUGUAAAGCUCUUUUACCCGGGAUGAGAAUGACGGUACCGGGAGAAUAAGCUCCGGCUAACUUCGUG
Molecule: ribosomal RNA, 433 nt
Filed under: uncultured bacterium
Lineage: Bacteria
Description: partial 16S ribosomal RNA
Rfam family: Bacterial small subunit ribosomal RNA
Source: RNAcentral